Molecule: long non-coding RNA, 847 nt
Organism: Hyaena hyaena (striped hyena)
Lineage: Eukaryota; Metazoa; Chordata; Mammalia; Carnivora; Hyaenidae
Exons: 3
Source: RefSeq, a predicted model, not a curated record
AAAAUAAAUAUUCCUUGCCUGGAUAUUGAAAGGUAGAGGACUGCUUCAGUCUAAGGAUUGAGGUUGAUGGCAUUCACAAGUGACAGGCAGCUGCUUUCAUGGAGAGAUUUAAGAGUUCAUAAAGGCCUGUACGUAAGCUCUUUAAGUGUUGACAACACAAUCUUCAGUGCCAAGAACAGUGGUCUGGGAUAUAUCGGAGACUCAAAACAGCUACGAUGAAGGAAGAGGGGAUAGAAGAGAGGAAGAAAAUGUGGGUGUCCCCAAUCCACAACAGGCUUUCUUUGGGAUUUCACCUGAACUUCACAGCAUUAUGCUGACUAUUGGCAUUUUCAAUAUCUCUUUUCUUAGCUGAAUUUUAGAUACUAUAAACCGGCUUGAAGAGAAUGGCAGCAAUUUUUACUUCUUUAAAUUGCAGCAAUGGUUCAAAAUGCCUUGAAUUUCUAGAGUAAGGUAAAGUAUUGUUUCAUUAAUUUACCACUUAAUACAGACAGAGGAGUUUCUUGGCUUUUGAAUCAACAUGACAAAUCGAAGACUCAAUUCCUUUUUUGAAAUGAACGAAGCAAAUAUUUUCUUCGGUAAUGAAGGACAAAUGUGAGUUACACACUUCUGAUGCCUUGGAAUUGCUUUCUGUUUGGCUAAAACAGCUAAUCUCAAAAAGGUACUCCUAUAGAAUAGUUUCCCAAUGAGAUGGGCUAAUGUAUCCUGGUGCUCAAAUUUUAACAAUAGUAUUUUUCCCGUUACCUGUGGGUGAGGGGAGAAGUCCUGAACUGAACUCUUCUUGAUCUUAAGAUUUUUCUCCCAUAAAAAAAGACAGCCUUUUUAACAGAUGGUGUUGGGAGAAAUGGAC